This 200-nucleotide unclassified non-coding RNA is filed under the name soil metagenome. RNAcentral's name for it is "partial contains internal transcribed spacer 2 and large subunit ribosomal RNA". The record is from RNAcentral.
GGAAGCUGCUGGAAACAUACAUUCAGCUCUUCUCAAAUGCAUUAGCGCGAAUAUUUAUCAAGUGUUCUCCAGUGUAAUAAUUAUCUGCGCUGCCGAAUCUUUGAUGAGAUUUAUGUGUUCGUGCUUCAAAUGGUUUCCAUAGUGGAACAAAUUUUUUUGCAUUUGACCUCAAAUCAGGCAGGACUACCCGCUGAACUUAA